RNAcentral lists this ribosomal RNA (88 nucleotides) under Legionella pneumophila. The record is from RNAcentral. Lineage: Bacteria; Pseudomonadati; Pseudomonadota; Gammaproteobacteria; Legionellales; Legionellaceae.
UGAUACCAUCUCGAACUCAGAAGUGAAACAUUUCCGCGCCAAUGAUAGUGUGAGGCUUCCUCAUGCGAAAGUAGGUCAUCGCCAGGGU